This 17813-nucleotide long non-coding RNA is filed under the name Populus trichocarpa (black cottonwood). RNAcentral describes it as "long non-coding RNA (PTRI_LNC002775)". The stretch from base 12059 to 12162 matches the Rfam family "Plant small nucleolar RNA R71". The record is from RNAcentral. Lineage: Eukaryota; Viridiplantae; Streptophyta; Magnoliopsida; Malpighiales; Salicaceae.
GAUUGACCAAAAUGGUGGGCUUGGAGUAGAGCUGUGGAUGGCAUUACAAAUGAUACAUUAUUGACUGAAGCAGCAAACCUCGUUCCGUUUGGUCCCUGGCAGGUUUGGUUUUUAGAGCAUGGGUUUGUUCCAAGGCCUACAGUGAAGACAAAUUGUCUGUCAACCUUUUGAGGAACAUUGGCAGGGAAGUCUGCACUGGCUAAGCUGCGGAGCUUGCUAGAAAAGUUUGUAGCAAAUGAAGUGUCGUUUAGUGGUGGUAGAUUUGGCUUAUAGAGUGGGAGUUUCUUGGUGGAGUGGUUUGAUUGACUGGUUUUGUUUGGCACUUCAUAUUCUAAAAUGCCAGCAACAGUUGAAUUAUCGAAAGUUCCUUGACCAGUCGCGUAAGGUCUAGCAGACAUGAAAAAUUGGGCAUUUGGGUAGUCGGGUUUGGUUUUCAGAAGAACGUUUGUGGUUUGUCCAGGGGUAAUGAGAAGUGUCUCGGCAUCAAAUGGCUUGACAUAAACAGCAUCAACAUCAACAACUGUGACUGUGUGGUUUGCUAUGCUGAAGAAGAGCUCGUCAUUGAGUGCGGCAUUGAUCAUGCGAAGAAGGUACGUCUUCCCUGGCUUUACCUUCAGCUUGAAAGUAUCUGCCAGGUACCAUGUACACAAGUUAAACGAGGGAGGAAAAAGGCAAAAAAAACAGAAGAAGGUUCAGUAUUGUCGUAGAAGGCCGACUCAGCAAAAAUAUUUUACCUUUGGCAGAGCAGUUAUACAGUGGCCCUGGAAGUCCAUUGAUAGUAUAAGCAUCAGAGACAUUUGGGCCUCCACCAGUUUGCAUUGCCUGGUUAAUGAUCGCCUCUGGAUCUGCAUUAAACCACUCCCCUGCAAUUUAUUUGUAUUAUGGUUUGUGUUAGCAGACAUAGACUCCCUCAACAGGAAAAAAAAGUCAACGUAAAUUUCAAUUAGCUCCUCAAAGUAGCUUGAUUUCUUGUAGUUGAUUACCAAAGAUGAUUGGAACCUCCUUGUAAGGUUUAGCAAAUGGGUAAGGAGUUCCGAGUUUGGGAAGAAGGAUUAUGGGACCAUAGAGAGUUGAUCUUAACCAUGAAAUAUGGGCAUGCCACCAAAGAGUGCCUCUCUGUCCUACAAUGGUGUAGUUGUACACAUAGCUUUGUCCAGUUUGUAUAGGGCACUGAGUUACGUAUGCUGGUCCAUCGGCCCACCCGCUGCGAAGCUGUCGAAUCCCAUGCCUGCAUGGAUCAAUGAAAACAUAAACUGAGAUUUAGACACAGCCUUUUCUAUACAAGAAGGUCCAUUAUACUUGGUGAAAAUUGAAGCUCGUCCUUGUACCAGUGAAUAGAGAUGUUGUUUUGGACAUGGUUGACCACUGUAAUAACAAGACGAUCACCCUCUCUAGCUACAAUGCGAGGCCCCGGGAACUUCCCAUUGACUGUAACCAUGCUCUUGGUAUGGCAAAGGCGUGUCACAUUUUGCAGCAUAACCUGUAAAAUUUUAUUUUCUAUACUGUCAAAAAAUAAAGUGCAGAACUCAUUCGACUAAGAAGAAAAAAAAACAAGAAGAGAGAAUAUUUGAACAAUUUUAGGUGCUUUGUCAACGACAUUUCACAUGUAACCCAUACAUCAAAUUUGUAGUGCCUAGUAAUGGCAAGUGCAGGCUCAGGAUUGACAGACAAAGUGACAAAUGAGAAGAGAAACACUGCCAGAAAUGCUGGUGGAGGAAGAAGAGAGGCACCCAUUUUUCUGAUAUGUUUCUUCUUUUGGAGCAGGCUAGAAGAAAGAAGCCGUUCUUUUUUGGGACUGUGUGCACAUCAAAGCUCGGAAACCAGUAUAUAUAGAGAGAGUUGAAGGAGGGUUGUUUCGAUGAUUAGGUGCAGAAAUUAUAAAGUUUAAAAAUGAAAAGAAAACUAGAACAAGCCUCAUGAACCAGAUGUGUAUCUGUAGAUGUUUUCAGCUCAGUAACAACUCUAGAGUGCAGUCAAAGCCAAUUUCCUUCGCGUCCCUACUUAAAUAAUGAUAUCCCACUUUUUUUUGGCAUGGCAUUGCCCAGAUUCCUUCCAUGCAUUUUCUGUUUUUGGUAAAACAGACUUCCAUUUUCAGCAACAAGGAGAGUUUUCAUCUAUACUGCUUCCACACACAUCCCUGGCAAUAUUGGAGUAACAAAGACUGUAAACGCCAGAAACAAUGGCUUGCUUUAUGCAUAGUUUUAGGUCAAUUCUUAGCCAGUUUUUCACCUUAUGAUGAUCAGGUUAGAAAAUGGAAGUUAAGCUUGCUAUAUUCUUCCUUCAGUAAAAUCACUUUCAUCUUGAAUAUUCAAAUAUCUUGAGAUGUUGGCAGAUUACUGUCGCUUAAGAAUAUGUUUAGACUUUUUGUUCGAGUGCUAGCGUUGCUACUGUUGACCAUAUAAAUGCAAUGGAUUGAUUAGCUAGCUUGCACUAUCAAAUCUUAAUGGAAGUUUUUUCAGUUGGUCGAAUUACCAAUGGCGCAACCUACUUGUGAAAGAACAGUCGUAGCUAGCCAACAUAAAGCUUAACCAUGUUUGUCAUCUAUGUAAGAUCAUUAACAACAGUGCUUGCUGAUAAAGCUAACCAAGAUAGAUGUUUCCAUCAAAGAAGGUCCAUUUCAGUGUUAGAUGGGCGUCAUGAAGUACAGGCCAUACAUAGCUAGAUGAAUCGUAGGGAGACCGCACAUGAAGCAUUUUUAUCUCAAGCAAACAUAGCAACGCACUAACUACCACGGGAAAAUAUAAUCACAACCAGAAAAUCUUAAAACACUUGAGGAAUAUUCUGUCGGUACUGUAAACACACUAAUUUUGUCGAUGUAAAAAUCACAUCACUGAUGAUUUUAUUGUUGGAAACGUGUUAUUAAGAAAUAUCUCUUCAAUGAUCCAUACUUGUCGGUAAUUUUGCCGUUGAUUUUUAUACCAAUAAAUAUAGCAACGAAUUAUUGUCAUCGGUCCUUGAAAAAGGAGCCGACCAACAUCAGUCGUCAAUUUUGUUGGUAAAUAUUACCAAUGGAUACUUCUGUCUCAUGAACGGUUUUACCGAUAGAACAUCGAUGGCAUAUUGCUUCGGUGUUCCCAUCGAGAUGGGUCAAAACAAUUAAUAAUUCUUUGUAAUUCUCUAAUGAAAAGAUUGAGCAUUUUCUGACAAAAAUUAUGUUGGUAUUUAAACAAGAUGUUUUUUUUAAAUGCUAUAAAACAAUUUCACAAUGGAAUUAAACAACAUCAAAUAACUAAUUUAAAUUGAAAAAUAAAUUUUAUAUAAUGUAAAAAAAUUAAAUAUGGCUAUAAAAAUCAAUGAAAUUGAAUUACAAAAUUUAUAUAAUGUAAAAAUCAAUUGCAAAUAUAUAUACAAAUCAAUUACAAGCUCGAGGUGGAGGUGGAGGUGGGGGGAUCUCGUGGAGGUUUGUAGAAGAGAGGGUAAUGACUGGAAAAGUAUGCUUCAUACCUUGUCAUGAUCUCCUCCAGAUUUUUUUCUUGUGCUUCAUACUUUGCUUUCAUUUUAGCCGUCAGAGUACCAACUCGUUGUUCAACCAACUCCUCAACGGUUAGUGAUGGUUGACUCCGGCUGAAUUGUGGGGUGUCUAGAGUCGAGACACUACAACCUAAUCUCAUAUAUAUCUUGGGCCAUAGUCAUAGAGAUACCAUAAACCCGAUUCUUAUCAGGUCCACCGGUUUCUCCAGCCUUCAACUACAAAUUCGGAUCGUAUUCUGGAUGAGUUAAAGGGUCCUCUCAAUGUUUUAACACAUUGCAAUGUUAUAAUGUCCCUAAACCACAGAAAAAUAAGUAAGAGAUAUGAUGAGAAAACAUUAGUCCAAACAAUGUACAAAAAGUCUACUUACAAUAAACACCUCAAUUUGGCUAUCAAAAAAAUAUUACAUCUCUCUUUGUCUAUCCUCCCUUUGUAUAUGUGUUUCCAUGUACCACUCCAUUAGAAUAGACUCGCUCCCAAGCUGUGUAGCUUGUAAAAUAAAUUUGUCUUAGUUAAACAUAAAUUACAGGUACCAUUUUAAGAAAAAUACUUGAAAUUAAAACAAGCUCUCUUAUAAAGCGUUUUGCAUGGUUUGUAAAAGGAAGUGACUUAUCGGUAUAUUGCUAAUGGAACCGUGAGUCUCCUUGUUUCUGUUCGAGGACCCACUCCUUGAACACCUCCUAAAACCCUCUGACGUAUAAAACUCUAAAUAGUUCUCCUAGUUGCUCUCAGUGGUGUGGAGAGAUAAAAAAUUCUUCCAUUCCUCAAAGCUAUUUGACUCGGCUCUUCUUUUAGCAUAGGUGUGUGCCUUUAUAUCAUAAAUCACACAACCUAGUUCAAAAAUUCAUUAAACUAAAAAAAAUAUAACAAAAAAUUAUUAAAAUUUUACAAAUAAACAUUUACAAUUAACAAAUUAAAAUUUACCUAGUUGAGCUAUAAUUUUUCUAGACUUGUCUUGCCACCUUUAAGUUUACCUCAUCCCAUCAUAAUUUUUCCUUGAAAUUAUUUUCGUAAAAUAAUUAGUUUCCAAGUUUUAAGAACAUCUUUUAUCCACUAAAAGUGUUGAUUACAUAUUAACCUUGAACUUCCUCCACCAAGUAUCAACCACAAGCCUCCAUUUUGGAAGAACAAAUCUGGAAAAGGGCCGAUGAAUAGAAUUAGUUUUAAGAAACCAAUAGAAGAGAAUAAAAUUUUCAUCAGAACAGUUUAUGGUCUGACUAUUACUGAGAAGUAAAUAUAAGCCUUUAAUGUUGGCAUUUGGGGAGAUCAGCUGAUGGAGGAAGCAGUUUUUGAUCUGCAAGUUUGCCAUCCAAGACAACCCAAGCCAUCCAAGCCACAUGUGUGCCUGUUGGUUAAUUUCGCAAGUGCACGAAUCGUAACAAGUAAUAAAGUGAUGAGUAGAGUAUCGUCCGACGAGGAUUUGUAAAAAUUACUACUAAUUACCAAAGUCUUUUAAAUUAUGAUCUAUUUGAGGAAUCGAAUGAGAUAGUUUAUGAAACAAAAAUUAAUGAUUAAAAAAAAACAAACAAAAAAUGAUUAAAUAUUAAUGAAUUCAAUUGUACUGGUUCUAGGAUUUCUGACUUACCGUAACUAUGCUUAUGUGAACUUUCUCGAUUAAAUUAAUUACUCCUAAUGUUGAUAAUCAGGUUUUCCUAAUGUAAAUAUUAAUCUCUCUCGAGCAUCAAUAAAUUAUUUCGACAAACAAAUUUCAUAUACUCUAUGAAAGUCCUGAACUUGUCGAAAUUUAUUAAGUACUGUAAAACCUGUAUCGACUACAAAAGUUCCUAGGAUAUCUCUAUCCUAUAGAUUUCUUAAGGUAUUUCAAACAAUAGCUAAAACAAUUAUCACUUCUCAGUUUCAAAUUGAAUUCUAAAUCAUGCAGAUGUUGGCCAAACACACGCAAGCAUUACACAUAGAAUGAAAUACUCAACAUCUUAAUGUAAUAAUUCAAUCGAAGAAAUUGUUCACAUAUUCAUAGUAAGGUUACAUCAAAAAUCCCAGAAUAAAAGUCUACUCCAUAGUUAAAUUAAAGAGAAACAAACUUGAUACGAUGAACAUCACUCAAAAGCAGAGAAUUUCAGUGGAAGAGAUAGGUGUCCUCUCGGUCUUCAAUAUUUUUGCCUCUGUUCUUUUUGUUCCUGUUUGGUGCCGCCUCCUCUGUUUUUCUUUGCUCUGUUAUAGGGUUUUCCAAGUGUCUCUCCUCUGUUUUUCAGACCCCGUAACUCUUCUUUUAUAUUGUGGCUUUUCUACCCCUGUAGUAAUGAAGAAAAUUUCCUUUUCUGCAUUGAUUUCUCCUACCCAGACAUUGCGGGCCAGAUUUGAGGUAGGAAACGUGCGAAUUAAAAACUCUCUAUUUCUGGAGAAAUUGUAGAGAAUCAAAUUUUCUUUCCAGCGACACUGAUCUUGCAAUUUUUGGACCUCUGAGCGUUGAGAUAUGGGCUAUAAACCGAAACAGUCUUUGCAGUGCAGGAAUUUCGGGCUGGUUCAAUCCUUGUUUUUCAACUCGCUUUUUGGGCUUCGAAACAACAAAACUGAGUUAUAUGUCCUUCAUAUGUUUUGUAGACCUUCAUCUCAGCUAUUUGAAAAUGGUUACGAACAUCCGGGACUAAAUUGUAUAGCUUCUUUGCAGCACAUAAUGAAUCAUUGUUCAGUUUCACUGCCCGGCUCUGCCUGUUCAGUAACCUAAGAUCUGAAAACACAUUAAUUUCCCACGAGGUCAAUAGUUCAAAAAGAGAUUCAAAAGUCUAAUUUUCUUGUGCAACAUAUCCAAAAUAUUUAAAAAUCAAGCAUGAAUAACAGAAAAUAUACAUGCUAAAAAUUCCCUUAUCAAAUACCCCCAAACUUGAAUGUUUGCUUGUCCUCAAGCAAAAAGGAAACCAUGAAAGCAUAGUGCUAAAAGCUCAUGAUAAGUUCAACUUUGACAUUUAAAAGGCUCCAUCAUGCAACAUUCACUUCUUGACUUAGCUCAUAGACAAUAUUAGAUAAUGGAAAACUAAGCAUUCCUACUCUCUGUGCAGACCGUUGUACAAACUUCCAACUCAUCCAUGUGUUUCAUGUGUUUAGCAUCCUUGAACCGUGCACAGUCAUUCUGCCAUUAUUAUUUUUUUUUUUUGAACAAGGUAGCCAACUUUAGGAGUAAUAACACACUUUUACUUGUCUUUUGACAAGGGUGAUUUUUUAAAAUUUAUCACUUGUCUUUUAACGCGAAUACAAACAUUUGUGAUGAAUGCACCCGGUUACUUAACAGGUCAUAAACUUAAAAUGCUUUGCAUACUCAUAUUUUAAGCUGCCGUUUGACAUAAAAGUAAACAUUUAUGAUGAAUACUCCUAGUUACUAAGCAACUCAAAACAUUGGAGUAGAUACACAUCAUAUACUUAUUCAUUCACUUUCAUACUCAUUAUCACUCCUUGUUUUGAUAUUUUUCUUAGAGGGUAAUAACAAAAAAGAACAGCACACUUAUCUCUUAUGCAUAACUACACAAUUCACCUGACUGUGUUGGAAAAGUGUACUUCAAUAAUUCAACAGAAAAUAGUCAUGCUUAAUCCAACUUUAUAAGAUAUUAUCCACUCUAAGCCUAGGAAUAUCAUGGAUACAUCAUGAAGCACCUAAAAAUGUCAAAGUUGGUCUUAAAUGCAUAUCACUUUUCACCCUCUGUUUUCAUGGUUCCAGUGUGCAGUGUCUUUCAUAGUCAAAGCAUGCAAUGUCUCCCCCAAACUUAAAUAUCACAUUGUCCUCAAUGGAAAAACAAAGAAUAGAAAGGCUUACGAAUACUUCCUUUUGACUAUGUGGGUGUGAGUUUGUUGUUGCUCCUGGUUAUUUGCUUGUAUGAUCAAUCCCUGCACAACUCAAUAAAACCAAUAAGGUUUUUUUUUUUUUUUGGGUUGCCUCCCAAUCAGCGCUUAGUUAUAGUCAUUAGCUUGACUUUUCCAUUUAGCUAAGAUGAAGUGAGAGGGAUAUCAUCCCUUUUUCCAAUAGACUCUCCAUUCCUAUAAUGCUUCAGACGCUGCCCAUUCACUGUGAAUGUUCCCUUUUCAUCAUGAGUGACCUCUACUGCUCCAUAAGGAAAUACCUUCACAACCGUAAAUGGUCCUGACCACCGUGAUUUGAGCUUACCAGGAAACAAGCGGAGCCGUGAAUUGAAAAGUAAUACCUGCUAACCAGGGACAAACUCCUUGCGUACAAUGUGUUUGUCAUGCCAUGCCUUGGUUCUUUCCUUGUAUAUCUUGGCAUUCUCAUAGGACUCAUUGCGAAAUUCAUCCAUCUCAUUAAGUUGCAGGAUUCUUUUCUCACCUGCAACCUGCAGAUCCAUGUUCAGUUGUUUCAUUGCCCAGUAUGCCUUAUGUUCUAAUUCAACAGGAAGAUGGCAUGCUUUUCCAAAAAAUAAUCGAUACGGAGACAUUCCCAAUGGUGUUUUGAAUGCUGUCCGAUAUGCCCACAAUGCAUCAUCUAGCUUUCAUGCCCAAUCUUUCCGAGAAUUACUUACUGUUUUCUCUAAGAUUUGCUUCACCUCUCUAUUUGAUACCUCUGUUUGGCCAUUUGUCUGAGGAUGAUAAGCCAGUGCUCGUUUGUGUCUGACUCCAUACUUAGAUAGCAGUGCUUCAAACUGCUUGUUGCAAAAAUGAGUUCCUUCAUCACUGAUGAUGGCUCGAGGAGUACCAAAUCUGGUAAAGAUGUUCUUUCGUAGAAAAUUAAGUACCACCUUGCCAUCAUUUGUAGGCAUUGCAAUUGCCUCGAUCCACUUUGAUACAUAAUCCACUGCUAAGAGAAUGUAUUUGUUGUUAUAUGAUGAAGGAAAAGGUCCCAUGAAAUCGAUGCCCCAAACAUCAAAUAAUUCAACUUCUAGGAUAUUCUGCAGUGGCAUUUCAUUUCGUCGAGAUAUAUUCCCAAUAUGCUGACAUCUAUCACAAGCAGUAACAAAAGCAUGAGCAUCUUUAAACAUAGUGGGCCAAUAAAAACCUGAUUGCAGAACUUUGGCUGCAGUGCGCUGAGUUCCAAAGUGCCCCCCAUAUUCAAGUGUGUGGCAAUGCUUCAAUAUGUUUGUCAUUUCCUCUUCUGGAACGCACCUCCUGAUGACUUGAUCUGCACAAUACCGAUAGAGUAUCGGCUCCUCCCAAAAGUAGUGUUUGACUUCAGAAAAAAAUUUCUUCUUUUGCCAGUAAGAAAAAUCUGGCGGUAUGAUUUUACCUGCAAGAAAGUUGACAUAAUCUGCAUACCAAGGAAAGAAUUUGUUAGUGGAAAUUGCUAAGAGUCUUUCAUCAGGAAAACAUUCAUUUAUAACCGUGAAUUUAGGCUCCAGCUGCUGUGUCAAUUCCAGCCUUGAAAGAUGAUCUGCCACCACGUUCUCAGUCCCCUUUUUAUCUUUAAUUUCUACAUCAAAUUCUUGCAGUAAUAGGAUCCAACGGAUGAGUCUAGGUUUGGCAUCUUUCUUAGACACUAGGUGUCUAAUUGCAGCAUGAUCAGUAUACACUAGUACUUUGUUUCCCAUCAGGUAAGGCCGAAACUUAUCAAAUGCAUAGACCACAGGAAGCAACUCUUUCUCGGUUGUGGCGUAAUUGAGCUGGGCAUCGUUGAGUGUUCUGCUGGCAUAGUAUAUGGUGUGAAACACAUUAUUUUUCCGUUGCCCCAGUACUGCUCCAACUGCAUAAUCACUUGCAUCACACAUAAGCUCAAAUGGUUUCUCCCAAUCUGGUGCAAUUACAAUAGGAGCUGUCACUAACUUCUUUUUCAACAGCAUAAAGGCUGUCUUGCAUUCCUCAUCAAACUGAAACUUUGUGUCUUUUAGCAGCAGACUGCAUAGCGGUUUGGAUAUUUUAGAGAAGUCUUUGAUGAACCUCCUAUAAAAUCCCGCAUGACCAAGGAAACUCCUAACCCCUUUGACUGUAGUUGGCGGCAGAAGCUUGUCUAUUGCCUCAAUUUUAGCUCUGUCUACCUCUAUUCCUUUUUCUGAAAUCCGGUGCCCCAACACUAUACCUUCCUUUACCAUGAAGUGACAUUUUUCCCAAUUCAAAAUCAAGUUUGUCUUUUCACAACGCUCCAACACCAAUGCCAACUUUGCAAGGAAAUCAUCGAAAGAAGUUCCAAAUACAGAAAAGUCAUCCAUGAAGACCUCAAUGAUCUGCUCCACCAUAUCUGAAAAGAUAGCCAUCAUGCACCUCUGAAAAGUAGCUGGUGCAUUACACAACCCAAAAGGCAUUCUUCUGAAAGCAAAAGUACCAUAAGGGCAGGUGAAAGUGGUCUUCUCUUGGUCCUCAGGUGCAAUGGCUAUUUGGAUGUAUCCCGAAUAACCAUCUAAGAAACAGUAGUAUUCAUGCCCAGCUAACCUGUCCAGCAUCUAAUCAAUGAAUGGUAGGGGGAAGUGAUCUUUGCGUGUUGCCUUGUUGAGCUUUCGAUAAUCCAUGCAAAUCCUCCAUCCAGUUACCGGUCUAGUAGGUAUCAAGUUGUUGUUUGCAUCCUUUACCACUGUUAUUCCUCCUUUCUUUGGCACAACUUGAACUGGGCUCACCCAUGAGCUAUCAGAGAUUGGAUAAAUAACACCAGCAUCUAACCAUUUUAGAACUUCUUUUCGGACUACCUCUUUCAUGGUCGGGUUAAGCCUUCUCUGAUGUUCUACUGUUGGCUUGACUUCAUCCUCCAACAGAAUUUUAUGCAUGCAAAUAGAGGGACUGAUGCCUUUGAUAUCUGCCAAUACCCACCCGAGAGCUGCCUUAUGUUUUCUCAACACCCUCAAUAAUUUUUCUUCCUCUGUUUUGGUCAGCUUUGCAGAGACUAUCACAGGAUAGGUGGAAGCUUCUCCAAGAUAUGCAUACCGAAGGUGUUCUGGCAGAGGUUGCAAUUCCAGAACCGGUGCUUGUUCACUGGUUGAUUUUAUUUUUGGUGCUGGUUGUCCCAAAUCUUCAAAGUAUCUUCUGCGGUUAGGUUCAAAAGAGUCCAUCCAACAUGUAUAUUCUGCUAUUUCAGCAUCCUCUUCCAGUACAUUAUUUACCAAACAUGCUUCCAACGGGUCAGUUGUAAGCUUGACUUUGUCAUUAAUUAAAGAGUCCACCACUUGAAUGCUGAAGCAACUCUCCCCCGUAUCUGGCUGUUUGAUGGCUUUGAACACAUUGAAAAUCACCUCCUCUUCAUUCACCCUUAAACGCAGCUCCCCUUUCUUCACAUCAAUUAACGCACCUCCAGUGGCCAAGAAUGGCCGGCCAAGCAAGAUAGCAAUCUCAUUAUCCUCCUCCAUAUCCAGUAUGAUGAAGUCUGCUGGAAAGAUGAACUUGCCCACUUUCACCAGUACGUCUUCAAUUAUGCCCCUUGGAUGCUUCAAUGACCUGUCAGCUAGCUGCAGUGUUACUGUGGUUGGCCUUGCUUCACCUAAACCAAGCUUCUUAAAAAUAGAUAAAGGCAUGAGAUUAAUACUUGCACCUAAAUCACAUAAAGCUUUUUCAAAUAUAGAAUUUUCAAUGGAACAUGGUAUAGUAAAACUCCCUGGAUCCUUAAGUUUAAGAGGCAAUUUCUUCUGCAAAAUGGCACUGCAUUCCUCAGUAAGAGCAACAGUCUCAUAUUCCUCUAGCUUUCUUUUGUUUGAGAGGAUGUCCUUCAAAAAUUUCACAUAGCUUGGCAUUUGUUCAAGAGCAUCUGCAAAAGGAAUGUUAAUCUGCAAUUUUUUAAACACAUCAAGAAAUUUAGAAAAUUGCUUAUCAAGUUUAUUCUUCUUGAGACGUUGUGGAAAUGGAAUUCUCUGCAUUAUUUCUUGCGUUGGUUCUGGCAGAGGAUCAGAUUUUUUCAUAUUCUGAAGUGCUUUGGCCACUUGCUCCUCCUCUUCUCUUCCUGCACUAUUGUUUCCAGCGGUCUGCUCCACUUCUUUUCCACUUCGUAAAGUUAUGGCCUUGUAUUGCUCCUUAGGAUUAAUUUCAGUUGUGCUUGGUAGAUUUCCUUGUUGUCUACCCAUGAGCAUGUUGGUUAACUGACCAACUUGAACCUCCAAAUUUCGAAUAGAAGCUGUUUGGUUCUGCAGAUUAGUAUUUGUUUCAGUCAUGAAUCUGCUGGUGUUGUUUGCUAAUUAUGUCAUAGCUUCUUCAAGUUUUGAUUUCUCUUUCAUGUGCUCACUUGAAGAUGGCAUGGCUGGAUUAUUCAUGACAGUUUGAUUGUUCCAAGAGAAAUUAGGAUGAUUUCUCCAACCGGGAUUAUAUGUUGCACUGUAGGGGUUGUUCUGCCGGCUGUAGUUUGACACAAAAUGAGCAUGCUCUGCUUGAGAGAAUGGGUUCCCAACCUGACACUCUUCACUUGUGUGAUUUCCAUGGCAAAAAUCACACGUUGUAUGGAUGGCAUUUGCUGACAGUUGAGUGGUUUUCAGUUGCUGAGUUAGUGAAUGGACUUGAGCUGUUAAUGCCGUGAUUGCAUCAAUUUCAUGCACCCCGACAGUCUUCUUCUGUAUGCUUCUUUCAUUUGGCCAUUGGUAAUUGUUCAUAGCCAUUUCUUCUAAUAAGUUGUAAGCAUCAUCCUGUGACUUACUCAUAAAAGCUCCUCCUGAAGCUGCAUCAAUUAGUGUUCUUGUGGAGGCAUUCAAUCCAUUGUAAAAAUUCUGCACCUGCAUCCACUUCGGUAGUCCAUGGUGGGGGCAUCGCCUGAGCAAAUCCUUGUAUCUCUCCCAUGCCUCAUACAAUGGUUCACUCUCAAGUUGGGCAAAGUUAGCUAUCUCAAUGCGCAUUUUUGCUGUCUUGGCUGGUGGAAAAAAUUUAGCAAGGAAUUUCUGAGCUAAAUCUUCCCAACUAAUAACUGAAUCUGCAGGCAUGGAGUUUAACCAGUUCUUCGCUCUAUCUCGCAGAGAAAAUGGAAACAGUCUGAGGCGAAUGGCAUCAUCAGUAACGCCAUUAUACUUAAAUGUGUCGCAAAUUUCCAAGAAACUUGCAAUAUGGGCGUUAGGAUCAUCACUUGGCAACCCAUAAAACUGAAUUGAGGUCUGAAUCAUCUGCAGUAUUGCUGGUUUGAUCUCAAAAUUAUUGGCCUCAAUCCUUGGUUUCCUGAUAACAGAACGGAUUCCUGUCACCUGUGGGAGAGCAAAAUCUCUCAAUACCCGUGUGUCUUGCUCAGGAUUUUCAUUGUCUGCCAUGAUGCCUGAACUGUUUUGAGUCUUUCGCGUUUUCUUUCUUAAUCCCCUUGCAGUUCUCUCAAUCUCAGAAUUAUAAGGUAGCAACGGCUGGUUUUUGUUGCUUCUCAUGCACUAGACAACACACCUAAAAAGCUGAAGACAAAAGGCAAUCAAAUUAGAUCAAAUUUAAUUUAUAUUGAUAUUAUUAGUAAUUUUAUCUAAAAUCCCCGGCAGCGGCGCCAAAAACUUGUUGGUUAAUUUCGCAAGUGCACGAAUCGUAACAAGUAAUAAAGUGAUGAGUAGAGUAUCGUCCGACGAGGAUUUGUAAAAAUUACUACUAAUUACCAAAGUCUUUUAAAUUAUGAUCUAUUUGAGGAAUCGAAUGAGAUAGUUUAUGAAACAAAAAUUAAUGAUUAAAAAAAAACAAACAAAAAAUGAUUAAAUAUUAAUGAAUUCAAUUGUACUGGUUCUAGGAUUUCUGACUUACCGUAACUAUGCUUAUGUGAACUUUCUCGAUUAAAUUAAUUACUCCUAAUGUUGAUAAUCAGGUUUUCCUAAUGUAAAUAUUAAUCUCUCUCGAGCAUCAAUAAAUUAUUUCGACAAACAAAUUUCAUAUACUCUAUGAAAGUCCUGAACUUGUCGAAAUUUAUUAAGUACUGUAAAACCUGUAUCGACUACAAAAGUUCCUAGGAUAUCUCUAUCCUAUAGAUUUCUUAAGGUAUUUCAAACAAUAGCUAAAACAAUUAUCACUUCUCAGUUUCAAAAUGAAAUACUCAACAUCUUAAUGUAAUAAUUCAAUCGAAGAAAUUGUUCACAUAUUCAUAGUAAGGUUACAUCAAAAAUCCCAGAAUAAAAGUCUAAUUCACAUAUUCAUAGUAAGGUUACAUCAAAAAUCCCAGAAUAAAAGUCUACUCCAUAGUUAAAUUAAAGAGAAACAAACUUGAUACGAUGAACAUCACUCAAAAGCAGAGAAUUUCAGUGGAAGAGAUAGGUGUCCUCUCGGUCUUCAAUAUUUUUGCCUCUGUUCUUUUUGUUCCUGUUUGGUGCCGCCUCCUCUGUUUUUCUUUGCUCUGUUAUAGGGUUUUCCAAGUGUCUCUCCUCUGUUUUUCAGACCCCGUAACUCUUCUUUUAUAUUGUGGCUUUUCUACCCCUGCAGUAAUGAAGAAAAUUUCCUUUUCUGCAUUGAUUUCUCCUACCCAGACAUUGCGGGCCAGAUUUGAGGUAGGAAACGUGCGAAUUAAAAACUCUCUAUUUCUGGAGAAAUUGUAGAGAAUCAAAUUUUCUUUCCAGCGACACUGAUCUUGCAAUUUUUGGACCUCUGAGCGUUGAGAUAUGGGCUAUAAACCGAAACAGUCUUUGCAGUGCAGGAAUUUCGGGCUGGUUCAAUCCUUGUUUUUCAACUCGCUUUUUGGGCUUCGAAACAACAAAACUGAGUUAUAUGUCCUUCAUAUGUUUUGUAGACCUUCAUCUCAGCUAUUUGAAAAUGGUUACGAACAUCCGGGACUAAAUUGUAUAGCUUCUUUGCAGCACAUAAUGAAUCAUUGUUCAGUUUCACUGCCCGGCUCUGCCUGUUCAGUAACCUAAGAUCUGAAAACACAUUAAUUUCCCACGAGGUCAAUAGUUCAAAAAGAGAUUCAAAAGUCUAAUUGUCUUGUGCAACAUAUCCAAAAUAUUUAAAAAUCAGUGCCCUUCUAGAUGGCUUUGCAUGAAUCCUACACAUGUUCACAUACAAUCAACAUCAUCAGAAAUUAACAUUGUUGGCAUUGCGAAUGGAACAUUGUUCACUGAAGCUGCAAACAUUGUUCCAUUUGGUCUCUCACAGGUUUGGUUUUUAGAACAUUGGUUUGUAUCAGACCUACUGUGAAGAAAAAUUGCUUAUCGACCUUUUGAGGCAUAUUAUUGGUAGGGAAUCCAGCACAAGCUAAGCUACGAAGUUUGCUUGUAAAAUUUGUAGCAAAUGAAGUGUAAUUUAGAGGUGGUAGAUUUGGUUUAUAGAGUGCGAGUUUUGUAAUUGAGUGGUUUGAAUGAAAGGCUUGGGGGUGAUAAUUCAUAUUCCAAAAUGCCAGCAACUGUUGAAUUGUAACAAGUUCCUUGUCCAUUCAUGCAUGCAGAAGCUCAACAAGGACACAAGCAAGCAUAAAAAGACCCGAUGUAGGCCGAAACAGGGAUAAAACAAAAACAAGCCCUAAAAUCUUAUUUUUAUUUCUAAAAUAUUAAUCUGACAAAGUUUUGCCUCUUAAAGAGGUUAAUAGUGUUUUUAAAUAGGCUAAAAAGUCAUCUAAACUAUGUAAUGAAAUCAAAAUUUUAAAAUAAAAAGGAAAAUAACACAAAACUCAAAAUAACACAAGAAAUCCAAAAAAAUCAAGAAAAAAAAACAAAAAAAGAUUAACCGAGCCUAAUUUUAAAAAAUGUCUAGUGGAUGGAUUUCUGAAGAAGCUUCCUUAUGGAACUGGUCCUUAAGAAUCUCAUGUAAAAGUUUGAACUCCCAACAGUCAAAUAAAAAAUUAUGGUUCAUUUAAGCCACUGUAUUAUUUUGACUUAGUAUGUAAAAACAUUUAUUAGGUCAUCCACAUAAUUUAUUUGGGAAAGAUCCUUAUAUAACAACAUUUAUUAGGCUUUCGGUGUUCGCUAAAAGAAUUUCUUAAAAGUUCUUGUUCUGUUAAUUUUCCUUGAUUUUUCUGGAUUUCUUAUGUUGUUUCGGAAUUUAUGUUAUUUUUCUUUAUAUUUUAGGAUUUUGAUUCCAUUUUUUAGUAUAGGUUGAUUUUUUAGCCUAUUUAAAAGCUUUUCUAACCUUCUAAAGAAGUAGAUUUGAUCAAAUUAAUAUUUCAAGAAAAAAAGUUUUAGGAUUUUUAUUUUAACCCUAUUUCAUCAUAUUUUAUGUGUUUUUGUACUUGUUGCUGCCCUUGUUAUGUUUCCGCCUGCAUCAGUUGGUAUCAAAGUCCAACUAUUCCUAGUGGUUAAUUGUUGUGUUCUAUUGAAUAAUCAUGGUUGAAAGAGGUUGCAGAAUUGGACGUACUCGUGUCAGAGAGAAUAAGGAGGCUCUUUCUUUGGAAAAAGACAUCUUAAAACUAGUAUGUUGUUUUUAUAUGUGUCAGUUGCUAUUAUUAGAAAUUUUAAUGAUAAGGAUUCAUGAAUGAUGAGGCAACCUACACAAAAAAUAUUAUAUUAAAAAUCCACUAUGAGUCUUAAAAUAGUGUGUGAAAGUGCUCGUUUGCUUCUAAGAAACCAUGUUUUUUGCUUUUAAAACCGUUAUAUUGGAGGCAAAAUACUUUUCCGCUUUUAAAACUAUCUGGUACACCACUUUUAGAAGCGGUUUUGCAGCGAACAAAGUUUGACACUGCGGUAGGAAAGUGCUUUUGAAAAAAAAAAUUAUUUUUUUUUGCUUUAAAUUUAUAUGUUUUUUAUGUUUUCAAAUCAUUUUAAUGUGCUGAUGUCAAAAAUAAUUUUUUAAAAAAACAAAAUUAUUAUUUUAAUGUAUUUUAGAAUGAAAAACACUUUGAAAACCAACAGUUACCACACUCUCAAACACCCUCGAUCCGCUUCUAAUGACUUUUAGCAGCAAAAAAUCGAUUUUUAGAUGUGACUUUUUUAUUCUAAAAACAAUUAUUAUUAUUAACCCAUUUCCUUAAAAAUCUUAUUCUAACUCCUAAGGUAUUUUUAUCAUUUCCAUUUAUCAUCCUUUUAUAAUUAAUAUUUAUAUUUGCCAUCUCAUUUAUUUGAUAUAAACGUUAACAAAAAUUCACCACCAUAUUAUAUAUGUUCUUAAUGUCUUAUUCUAUAGUAUUGCUGUACUAUUUCUAGCUUGAAUAAAUAAUAGUAUAAGAAAUAAAAUUUAUUACCAUUUGAGUGUUUGUAUUUUUAGAAAUAUAUCAAUUGAGUGCUUUUAAUUAAUUUUAAAAGUGGAGGGGACUGACUUGAAAUGUGUAUUUAAUGAAUUCGUGAUCCAAAUUGAGAGAUAAAAGCAGAAGAAGUUGCCUUGAAGGUGAAAGCAUGAACAAUUGCUUUCAUAGCAUGGUGGUUGUUGAUGAAGAAGCUGUAAGAGUCUUCUCGUGUUCAGAAUAAUUCAGUUUAAAGGUUGAUCUCCAUGCCCUUUUAUGAAUAUAUAUAAGUAAUAAAUAAUAGAGAAAUGUUGCUUGCAAAUUAAAUAAUCAAAAGGUUCGACGAUAUUCGUUUCCUUCCUCAACUCCAACAACGGUAACAAAAAAUAAUCUCGGAAACUAAAGCUCAUGAGAGAAAAAAAAACACUGAAAAGAAACAAACAAGCCGGUUACAGAGAAAACCCGAAGAAAAAAAACUUAAUCAGGGAAGUUUCUGGUCUCAACGUAGCUGAAAAGCAGCUUGAAGCCUUGAAAGUUAACACUUGGGAAGAUCAGCUGGUGGAGGAAGCAGCUUCUGAUUGGGAAGCUUUCCAUCCAAGACAACCCAAGCCAUCUUCAAGCCCCAGCUUGUGUGCACUUCUAGAUGGCAAUGCAUGAACCAUACGCCUGGGUGAUGGCCAUCAUCCACAAAUGAUAACAUGUCAGCAAACGAAGAUGCUACGUUCAUAAACUUAAUCAUCUAAGAUAAAGAUAGGAUGUUAAUUUGCAUGUAUUGCAUAUACUAAUGAUGAUUAAUUACCAACCUGGAUUGUCUGCUAGAAACCGUAUAGCAACCCAGCCUCCAGAGGGCACUCCCACAGUAUUCCUUUCAACGGGGUCAACAAGAUUGAAAUUUGCGGGAUCCUUGCUUGGAUCAAAGUUCCCAAAACCUUGACCGACAACAAAGAAAUUGAAACCAUGCAAAUGAAGAGGGUGGCUCUCUGCACCAAGUAUGCUAGUGCCCUGCAUGAUGAGCUCCACGCUUGUGUUAAAAGGAAGAACAACUAGCUUUGUUCCAUUGCUCACCAUAGUAUUGUUCGGUGGUGUGCCAGUAUAGUUAAAAGGGAUCAGUGGACUGAUUGGAAAAUAAGGACUGUAAACACCCCUUGAUUGACCAAAAUGGUGGGCUUGGAGUAGAGCUGUGGUUGGCAUUACAAAUGAUACAUUAUUGACUGAAGCAGCAAACCUCGUUCCGUUUGGUCCCUGGCAGGUUUGGUUUUUAGAGCAUGGGUUUGUUCCAAGGCCUACAGUGAAGAAAAAUUGUCUGUCAACCUUUUGAGGAACAUUGGCAGGGAAGUCUGCACUGGCUAAGCUGCGGAGCUUGCUAGAAAAGUUUGUAGCAAAUGAAGUGUCGUUUAGUGGUGGUAGAUUUGGUUUAUAGAGUGGGAGUUUCUUGGUGGAGUGGUUUGAUUG